This 382-nucleotide long non-coding RNA is filed under the name Homo sapiens (human). RNAcentral describes it as "HSALNT0153995". Lineage: Eukaryota; Metazoa; Chordata; Mammalia; Primates; Hominidae. The record is from RNAcentral.
ACCGCUGACCUCUCUUAGCACUCUUCAUCUCCUUUCUCUGAUUAUCUUCCUCUCGCUCUUAAAUACGUAUACACGUGGCUCCCAGUCAGCUGACUGUGAACAAUAUGCCCAUUCCCACAGCUCUACCAUGGGAAUCAUUCCCACACUGUCUCCCUAGCUUCAGAACCAAGGUUCCCACACACCCGCAAUCCAUGUGCCAAGAUGUGCUAUCUCUUCCCAUUCUUAAAACAAUCCUGGCCAGAAGGUUCUUUCUGGAUACUGCGCCUGGCCCCGAUUGCCACAUUUUAUACACUACAGAAGGUUCUCUCUGGAUACUAGUUAGACACACACACACACACAAAAAGCCAUUUUGAUCUUGUUAUGAACUAUAUAUUCUCCCAUG